UCUGUGUUAAAUAAGAACUAGCAGUUUACUUUUGCUCAGCUCAUUUGUCUGCUACCUCCAGUUGUAUAUCAUGAUUGCUGAAAGGAGCUAAUUCUCUUUAAACUUGAGAUUCUACGAGGAUUGAAAUGCUUACUCUGAACUUCCACCUCUUGGGAAUGUAUUUAUCAUCUUUCUCCAAAUUAUCUGAUUAUUGGUAUUCUUAUUAUGUCUCUUAAAUGAUGGGAUUCUACUUUCUUCAGCUGUGAUCUCUUUACAUAAAUCCAAUGGUCAAUCGAGUUACUCUGACUGCCCUUGGUUGUGAGAUUAGUAGUCUGAUAAUUUAUAAUACCAUCCUCUUCCACUACUUAAUAUUGGGUUUUAAGCAGUUUAAUAACCAAUGCAUUAACUAAAACCUUAAUAUGGAUAAAAUGAUUGCUCUCUCUGAAGUUUCACCCGUUGAAAAUGCAUUGGACAUUUUAGAUUUGAUACCACAAGCAGCAAUUCUACAAACCUUUUCUAUAAGACUUUAAACCCGCAAUUCUCUACUGCACUCCUUCCGCCUGCACUUAACAAGCAGAUUUUUAUGGUCUCUCCCCUAGAUGAACUUAGAUUAGAUUUUUAUAGCUGGUAUUAAUUAAUUUUUGUUUUGCAUUUCCUACAAGUUACCCAUCAAUAUGAAAUAAGCACUAGGAGUUUCGUUUUGUUGAUUUUAUAUAUCUGCUUUUGUGGAUGUAAGAUGUGAUUGCUAAAGUGAUCAGCUCCCUAACUAAUGAUUCUAGUGGGAGUAAAUAGUUGCUCCAAAGUUUAAUCACCUCUUGAAGGCGCAUUUAUCAAGCUUCUUGAACCAUUUGAUUAGUGAUUUGUUCGAUAAGUCUCGUAGAUAAUGGGUUUCUGUCUCACUUUUCCUUGGUUAUGAUUUUCUAGUAGUAAAGAUUUGAGGAGUUUUCAGAGCUGUUGGUCAUCAAAUUGGUGUUUGGUUCUAAGAGUCUGCCACGGAAGAUGUACUGUUCAUGCAGUGAAGCUGCACAGAAUUGUUAAGAGUAUCUUCUUACACAAUCAAGUCUAAGCUGCAAGUUUUGAAGCAUAUCGCUGUGGUUAGUCGAGACUGCUGCUACUUGCUGCAAUUAUUUCAUCCGCUGUGAUGAAGGCUAUUAAGCUCAUUCUGCCACCUAUACUUGUUGGUUGCUCCUCUCUUCAUGUGAUUUUGCACUCAAAGAUCAACAUUAACCCUGAUAGCUCUACUUACUAUCCUUGG
Molecule: long non-coding RNA, 1234 nt
Organism: Coffea eugenioides
Lineage: Eukaryota; Viridiplantae; Streptophyta; Magnoliopsida; Gentianales; Rubiaceae
Exons: 3
Source: RefSeq, a predicted model, not a curated record